GACCUCGGAUCAGGUAGGGAUACCCGCUGAACUUAAGCAUAUCAAUAAGGCCGGAGAAA
Molecule: ribosomal RNA, 59 nt
Filed under: Bipolaris sorokiniana
Lineage: Eukaryota; Fungi; Ascomycota; Dothideomycetes; Pleosporales; Pleosporaceae
Description: partial 28S ribosomal RNA
Source: RNAcentral